AUCCCUUUUUUAACAUCCCAUUUAUUACAUGAGAAAAAUAUUUCUCAUGAAAUCACUCCAUGCACAAUUUAAGCCAUGCCUCACGCCUUUAGUGGAUAAGGGAUGAGUUGGUGUCCAUUUGAAUUCAAAAUUUGAUUUGAAUUCAAAUGUGUAAUUACUCAUCUUUAUCCUUUCUUUUGGAUAAGACGUUUGACGUUGUUAUAAAAGGAGGAGAAGAGUGGGGCGUG
RNAcentral lists this long non-coding RNA (227 nucleotides) under Elaeis guineensis (African oil palm). RNAcentral's name for it is "long non-coding RNA (EGUI_LNC068561)". The record is from RNAcentral. Lineage: Eukaryota; Viridiplantae; Streptophyta; Magnoliopsida; Arecales; Arecaceae.